GGGGAAUUUUCCGCAAUGGGCGAAAGCCUGACGGAGCAAGACCGCGUGAGGGAGGAAGGCUCUUGGGUUGUAAACCUCUUUUGUCAGGGAAGAAAAAAAUGACGGUACCUGACGAAUCAGCCUCGGCUAACUCCGUGCCAGCAGCCGCGGUAAUACGGAGGAGGCAAGCGUUAUCCGGAAUUAUUGGGCGUAAAGCGUCCGCAGGUGGCUCUUCAAGUCUGCUGUCAAAUCCAGUAGCUCAACUACUGUCAGGCAGUGGAAACUGAAAAGCUAGAGAGUCGUAGGGGUAGAGGGAAUUCCCGGUGUAGCGGUGAAAUGCGUAGAGAUCGGGAAGAACAUCGGUGGCGAAGGCGCUCUACUGGACGACAUCUGACACUCAGGGACGAAAGCUAGGGGAGCGAAUGGGAUUAGAUACCCCAGUAGUCCUAGCUGUAAACGAUGGAUACUAGGUGUAGCUUGUAUCGACCCGAGCUGUGCCGAAGCUAACGCGUUAAGUAUCCCGCCUGGGGAGUACGCACGCAAGUGUGAAACUCAAAGGAAUUGACGGGGGCCCGCACAAGCGGUGGAGUAUGUGGUUUAAUUCGAUGCAACGCGAAGAACCUUACCAGGGCUUGACAUGUCGCGAAUCUUGAUGAAAGUUAAGAGUGCCUUCGGGAGCGCGAACACAGGUGGUGCAUGGCUGUCGUCAGCUCGUGUCGUGAGAUGUUGGGUUAAGUCCCGCAACGAGCGCAACCCUCGUUUUUAGUUGCCAAUAUUAAGUUAGGCACUCUAGAGAGACUGCCGGUGACAAACCGGAGGAAGGUGGGGAUGACGUCAAGUCAGCAUGCCCCUUACGUCCUGGGCUACACACGUACUACAAUGGGGGGGACAGAGGGUCGCUAGCUCGCGAGAGUCUGCUAAUCCCAAAAACCUCUCCUCAGUUCAGAUUGCAGGCUGCAACUCGCCUGCAUGAAGGAGGAAUCGCUAGUAAUCGCCGGUCAGCAUACGGCGGUGAAUCCGUUCCCGGGCCUUGUACACACCGCCCGUCACACCAUGGAAGCUGGCCACGCCCGAAGUCGUUACCCUAACCCGCAAGGGAGGGGGAUGCCGAAGGCAGGGUUGGUGACUGGGGUGAAGUCGUAACAAGGUAGCCGUACCGGAAGGUGUGGCUGGAUCACCUCCUUUUAGGGAGACCUAACCAAUUGAAGUCCGAAAUAAUUCUAAAUUAGGACUCAAAUCAGGUAAUCCUAGGUCGUGCGAGGGAAAUAAUUAGAAGCUUUCAAACUUAAGUUCGGUUCGGUUUUGGGCUAUUAGCUCAGGUGGUUAGAGCGCACCCCUGAUAAGGGUGAGGUCCCUGGUUCGAGUCCAGGAUGGCCCACCUAAACCAAUAAUCAAGUGUCAAGUCAGAACUUGGAAAUAAUCAAUUAUUUCAAGUUUCAUUCUUGAGCCUUUUGGAUGGGGGUAUAGCUCAGUUGGUAGAGCGCUGCCUUUGCAAGGCAGAUGUCAGCGGUUCGAGUCCGCUUACCUCCAUGAGGUCAAGCAGCCUCAAGAGGCAAGACCCAAAAACCACUGAUUAAAAUAAUCGAACUAAUCUCUCUUGAUAUUUGAGGCGAGAAGUUAGCACCUGAACUUGAAUUAAAAGACAAGUCAGACUGCUGAACGGACUCGUUCAGUCAGAACCUUGAAAACUGCAUAGCAAUAGGAAAAAAACCAAGUCGGUAAGUCAGGCUUACGCCCAAGGGCGCUAGCCAUCUUAUUUAGACUGAGUAACAAAGAAAAAGUUGGUCAAGCUACAAAGAGCUAACGGUGGAUACCUAGGCACACAGAG
Molecule: ribosomal RNA, 1807 nt
Filed under: Phormidium sp. 00767_00001
Lineage: Bacteria; Bacillati; Cyanobacteriota; Cyanophyceae; Oscillatoriales; Oscillatoriaceae
Description: bacterial SSU rRNA
Rfam family: Bacterial small subunit ribosomal RNA (bases 1-1164)
Source: RNAcentral